AUUGAACGCUGGCGGCAUGCCUUACACAUGCAAGUCGAACGGCAGCACGGGUGCUUGCACCUGGUGGCGAGUGGCGAACGGGUGAGUAAUACAUCGGAACAUGUCCUGUAGUGGGGGAUAGCCCGGCGAAAGCCGGAUUAAUACCGCAUACGAUCUACGGAUGAAAGCGGGGGGCCUUCGGGCCUCGCGCUAUAGGGUUGGCCGGGGGCUGAUUAGCUAGUUGGGGGGGUAAAGGCCUACCAAGGCGACGAUCAGUAGCUGGCCUGAGAGGAGGACCAGCCACACUGGGACUGAGAGAGGGAGCAGAGGGCAAUGUGAGGCAGCGGGGGAGAAUAUGGCACAAUGGGCGGAAGCGUGAGGAAGCGACGCCGGGUUUGGAAUGACGGUCUUCGGGGAAAAAACCCCUUGUCGCAGGGACGGAGGGGGAGUGACGGUACCGGAAGAAAAAGCACCGGCUAACUACGUG
Molecule: ribosomal RNA, 466 nt
Filed under: uncultured bacterium
Lineage: Bacteria
Description: partial 16S ribosomal RNA
Rfam family: Bacterial small subunit ribosomal RNA
Source: RNAcentral